UACAGAGGUCUCAAGCGUUGUUCGGAUUCAUUGGGCGUAAAGGGUGCGUAGGCGGCGUGGUAAGUCGGGUGUGAAAUUUCGGAGCUUAACUCCGAAACUGCAUUCGAUACUGCCGUGCUUGAGGACUGGAGAGGAGACUGGAAUUUACGGUGUAGCAGUGAAAUGCGUAGAGAUCGUAAGGAAGACCAGUGGCGAAGGCGGGUCUCUGGACAGUUCCUGACACUGAGGCACGAAGGCCAGGGGAGCAAACGGG
Molecule: ribosomal RNA, 253 nt
Filed under: uncultured bacterium
Lineage: Bacteria
Description: partial 16S ribosomal RNA
Rfam family: Bacterial small subunit ribosomal RNA
Source: RNAcentral